Molecule: transfer RNA, 76 nt
Filed under: Opitutales bacterium
Lineage: Bacteria; Pseudomonadati; Verrucomicrobiota; Opitutia; Opitutales
Also listed under: 1 other name
Description: tRNA-Thr
Rfam family: tRNA
About the family: Transfer RNA (tRNA) molecules are approximately 80 nucleotides in length. Their secondary structure includes four short double-helical elements and three loops (D, anti-codon, and T loops).
Source: RNAcentral
GCCGGUGUAGCUCAAUUGGUAGAGCAACUGAUUUGUAAUCAGUAGGUUGCGGGUUCAAGUCCCAUCGCCGGCUCCA